UGCGAGAACUACAUGCGCUGCGUGUC
This 26-nucleotide non-coding RNA is filed under the name Homo sapiens (human). Lineage: Eukaryota; Metazoa; Chordata; Mammalia; Primates; Hominidae. The record is from RNAcentral.